Molecule: ribosomal RNA, 233 nt
Filed under: uncultured bacterium
Lineage: Bacteria
Description: partial 16S ribosomal RNA
Rfam family: Bacterial small subunit ribosomal RNA
Source: RNAcentral
UCCACGCCCUAAACGAUGAAUGCUAGUCGUCGCUAAGCUAGUCUUAGCGGUGAUGCACCUAACGGAUUAAGCAUUCCGCCUGGGGAGUACGGUCGCAAGAUUAAAACUCAAAGGAAUAGACGGGGACCCGCACAAGUGGUGGAGCAUGUGGUUUAAUUCGAAAAUACGCGAAGAACCUUACCUAGCCUUGACAUUGAUUGAAUCCAGCAGAGAUGCAGGAGUGCCUUUCGGGG